GACGAACGCUGGCGGCGUGCUUAACACAUGCAAGUCGAACGGAAAGGCCCUGCUUUUGUGGGGUGCUCGAGUGGCGAACGGGUGGGUAACACGUGAGUAACCUGCCCUUGACUUUGGGAUAACUUCAGGAAACUGGGGCUAAUACCGGAUAGGAGCUCCUGCUGCAUGGUGGGGGUUGGAAAGUUUCGGCGGUUGGGAUGGAAUCGCGGCUUAUCAGCUUGUUGGUGGGGGAGUGGCUUACCAAGGCUUUGACGGGUAGCCGGCCUGAGAGGGUGACCGGCCACAUUGGGACUGAGAGACGGCCCAGACUCCUACGGGAGGCAGCAGUGGGGAAUAUUGCACAAUGGGCGGAAGCCUGAUGCAGCAACGCCGCGUGCGGGAUGACGGCCUUCGGGUUGUAAACCGCUUACGCCUGUGACGAAGCGUGAGUGACGGUAAUGGGUAAAGAAGCACCGGCUAACUACGUG
RNAcentral lists this ribosomal RNA (467 nucleotides) under uncultured bacterium. RNAcentral describes it as "partial 16S ribosomal RNA". It matches the Rfam family "Bacterial small subunit ribosomal RNA", at positions 28 to 507 of the family's 1533-position model. The record is from RNAcentral.